RNAcentral lists this long non-coding RNA (229 nucleotides) under Gossypium barbadense (sea-island cotton). Its description in RNAcentral is "long non-coding RNA (GBAR_LNC006601)". Lineage: Eukaryota; Viridiplantae; Streptophyta; Magnoliopsida; Malvales; Malvaceae. The record is from RNAcentral.
GGUUUACGGGUCAGCCCCAAAACGACGUCGUUUUAGGGCUCUUCAGGGCACCUUGAAAUGGCAUCGUUUUAUAAGGCUAUAAAAGCCAAAUUUUUGAGAAAAAAAAUCACUUCUGCUAUCAUUUUAAAGAAAAUUUCUCAGUAGCUCUCUCACUCCCUCUCUCUUGCCCUCUGGUCGGAGCUAGAACCCGGUGACUGGGCCACCAUCAGCCACCAUCGCUGGCCACCGC